AGAGUUUGAUCCUGGCUCAGAACGAACGCUGGCGGCGUGGAUAAGACAUGCAAGUCGAGCGCUGAUUGUCGGGUAGCAAUAUUCGGCAGUCGGAGCGGCGCAAGGGUGCGUAACACGUGGGUAAUCUGCCAUGAAGUUUGGAAUAACUUGCUGAAAGGCGAGCUAAUACCGGAUGUGACCGUUGGGAGGCCUCUCCCGAUAGUUAAAGCUGGGGACCGUAAGGCCUGGCGCUUCUUGAUGAACCCGCGGCCUAUCAGCUAGUUGGUGAGGUAACGGCCCACCAAGGCUAAGACGGGUAGCUGGUCUGAGAGGACGACCAGCCACACUGGAACUGAGACACGGUCCAGACACCUACGGGUGGCAGCAGUCGAGAAUUUUUCACAAUGGGCGCAAGCCUGAUGGAGCGACGCCGCGUGGGGGAUGAAUGGCUUCGGCCCGUAAACCCCUGUCAUUUGCGAUCAAACCUCGGUAUUUAAAAGAUGCCGAGCUGAUAGUAGCGAAAGAGGAAGGGACGGCUAACUCUGUGCCAGCAGCCGCGGUAAUACAGAGGUCCCGAGCGUUGUUCGGAUUCACUGGGCGUAAAGGGUGCGUAGGUGGUGAGGUAAGUCGGAUGUGAAAUCUCGGAGCUUAACUCCGAAACUGCAUUGGAAACUACCUCGCUAGAGGGUUGGAGGGGGGACUGGAAUGCUUGGUGUAGCAGUGAAAUGCGUAGAUAUCAAGCGGAACACCAGUGGCGAAGGCGAGUCCCUGGACAACUCCUGACACUGAGGCACGAAAGCUAGGGGAGCAAACAGGAUUAGAUACCCUAGUAGUCC
RNAcentral lists this ribosomal RNA (815 nucleotides) under uncultured bacterium. RNAcentral's name for it is "bacterial SSU rRNA". It matches the Rfam family "Bacterial small subunit ribosomal RNA", at positions 8 to 796 of the family's 1533-position model. The record is from RNAcentral.